CCAUAGCCUUGAACCUAACCUAAAUCUAUUUGAAUUUAAUUGGAUGCUUAAUUGUGAGCCUAAGAGGAUUUGAUUAAGUCGAUUAGUUAGCAUAAUUAUCCUAACAUUAUGUCUUCUUUAUCUCCUAAUUAUCUCUAAAUGUGCAUGUGGAAUGGAUGGAAGAUUGGGUGGCGCCUUCCUUCUCUUUUGGCAGGAAUUGGGUGCCAAAUCUUAGAGGGGCCCGCCCCCUCUUAUGUGGCAUGGUGUGGAGGAGAGAGAGGUGGGGCCAUGCCCCUUCAUAUUUGGAUAGAACCCUAUUGUUGGGGCACCAAGAGUUGGCACCCCAACUGCCUGAUAUGUAUUCCUAUGAUGC
RNAcentral lists this long non-coding RNA (352 nucleotides) under Elaeis guineensis (African oil palm). Its description in RNAcentral is "long non-coding RNA (EGUI_LNC081568)". Lineage: Eukaryota; Viridiplantae; Streptophyta; Magnoliopsida; Arecales; Arecaceae. The record is from RNAcentral.